This 1029-nucleotide ribosomal RNA is filed under the name uncultured organism. RNAcentral's name for it is "bacterial SSU rRNA". It matches the Rfam family "Bacterial small subunit ribosomal RNA", at positions 117 to 1178 of the family's 1533-position model. The record is from RNAcentral.
GUGAGAAUCUGCCUUCCGGAUGGGGACAACCGCUGGAAACGGCGGCUAAUCCCCAAUGUGCCGAGAGGUAAAACGGGUGAAACCGCCGGAAGAGGAGCUCGCGUCCGAUUAGCUAGUUGGUGGGGUAACAGCUCACCAAGGCCACGAUCGGUAGCCGGUCUGAGAGGACGAUCGGCCACACUGGGACUGAGACACGGCCCAGACUCCUACGGGAGGCAGCAGUGGGGAAUUUUCCGCAAUGGGCGAAAGCCUGACGGAGCAACGCCGCGUGGGGGAGGAAGGCUCUUGGGUUGUAAACCCCUUUUCUCAGGGAAGAAGCUCUGACGGUACCUGAGGAAUCAGCCUCGGCUAACUCCGUGCCAGCAGCCGCGGUAAUACGGAGGAGGCAAGCGUUAUCCGGAAUUAUUGGGCGUAAAGCGUCCGCAGGUGGCUAUUUAAGUCUGCUGUCAAAGACCGGGGCUCAACUCCGGGUCGGCAGUGGAAACUGGAUAGCUAGAGUACGGUAGGGGUAGAGGGAAUUCCCGGUGUAGCGGUGAAAUGCGUAGAGAUCGGGAAGAACACCGGUGGCGAAGGCGCUCUACUGGACCGUGACUGACACUCAGGGACGAAAGCUAGGGGAGCGAAAGGGAUUAGAUACCCCUGUAGCCCUAGCUGUAAACGAUGGACACUAGGUGUUGUCUGUAUCGACCCGGACAGUGCCGAAGCUAACGCGUUAAGUGUCCCGCCUGGGGAGUACGCACGCAAGUGUGAAACUCAAAGGAAUUGAUGGGGGUCUGCACAAGCGGUGGAGUAUGUGGUUUAAUUAGAUGCAACGCGAAGAACCUUACCAGGGCUUGACAGGUCGUGAACCUCGGGGAAACUCGAGGGUGCCUAUGGGAACGCGAACACAGGUGGUGCAUGGCUGUCGUCAGUUCGUGUCGUGAGAUGUUGGGUUAAGUCCCGCAACGAGCGCAACCCUCGUCGUUAGUUGCCAGCAUUCAGUUGGGCACUUUAGGGAGACUGCCGGUGAUAAACCGGAGGAAGGUGGGG